This is a long non-coding RNA of Pogoniulus pusillus (Red-fronted tinkerbird), 734 nucleotides long. RefSeq lists it as uncharacterized. The transcript is spliced from 2 exons. The record is from RefSeq and is a predicted model, not a curated record. Lineage: Eukaryota; Metazoa; Chordata; Aves; Piciformes; Lybiidae.
UGGUGUUAAAGCAUCUAGAACGGGCCGAGGUCAUCUGUUGUGGAACAACAGAACCGCUAAGGCACUUCCCACUGCCCAAGGACACGGCUGCCAGGACUUCGAAGGGAUGUGUUGUCUGAAUUUAUCAGAUCAUGGUGAGUCCAUUCACAAGAGUAUAACCUGGUAGAAAGGCCGUAUUGACAAGAUCAAAAAGGAAACAUCGACUUUUGAUGACUGGUUGCAGAACCUGUUUGGGACAAUCCUGGGGUGGUUAAGCAGCUUAUUAGGAGAAGGCUUACGGUUAUUUGUUAUUUUCAUAAUAAUUCUGCUAUGCGCUUGUAUUGUCUUUGCUUGCAUUAAGAAGAGCUUAACUAAGGUAGUUAGCCAGGUGUGGGUUGCUCAAAAGAAAAAGAGGGAAUUGUGGAAGAAUUUCUCACCAGUCGAGGACAUAAAGUCAUAAGCAUGGGUAACUUGCGCUGAGAACGUCCUUGGUUCCCAGCGAGGCUAGGAAAUCGAGAUGUAAAUAACUGAGCACCCCACACACAGCUGCAGUGGGCAGAGACUAGAUAACCAAGGGGGCUGGAGUGGGUGGUCUGGAAGGCUGACCCUUAGAAUGUUGUGAUAAGUUAACCUAUGCACACCUUACAUGUAACUCUGGACCCUCUGACUGUAACCAAUCUUAAGCUGAGCACGCCUCUUGCUAGAAUGCAUAUAAGUCACUGUAUCACGGAAAUAAAGUGGAUUUGACCAUCUAA